UACGAAGGGGGCUAGCGUUGCUCGGAAUCACUGGGCGUAAAGCGCACGUAGGCGGACUCUUAAGUCGGUGGUGAAAUCCUGGAGCUCAACUCCAGAACUGCCUUCGAUACUGAGAGUCUCGAGUCCGGGAGAGGUGAGUGGAAUUCCCGGUGUAGUGGUGAAAUGCGUAGAUAUCGGGAGGAACACCAGUGGCGAAGGCGACUUCCUGGCCUGUUCUUGACGCUGAGGCGCGAAAGCUAGGGGAGCAAACGGG
RNAcentral lists this ribosomal RNA (253 nucleotides) under uncultured bacterium. Its description in RNAcentral is "partial 16S ribosomal RNA". It matches the Rfam family "Bacterial small subunit ribosomal RNA", at positions 524 to 776 of the family's 1533-position model. The record is from RNAcentral.